CUGCUCCACAGCGCCCAGUCCCAUCAACCACCCAAGGGCUGAAUUGUGCGGGCGCAGGGCACGGGACUGGCAGGCAGCUCCACCGGUAGCCCCGGUGCGGGAUCCACUGGGUGAAGCCAGCUGGGCUCCUGAGUCUGGUGGGGACGUAGAGAACCUUUAUGUCUAGCUCAGGGAUUGUAAAUUCACCAGUCGGCACUCUGUAUCUAGCUCAAGGUUUGUAAACACACCAAUCAGCACCCUGUGUCCAGCUCAGGGUUUGUAAAUGCACCAAUCGACACUCUGUAUCUAGCUACUCUGGUGGGGCCUUGGAGAACCUUUGUGUCCACACUCUGUAUCUAGCUAAUCUGGUGGGGAAGGGGAGAACCUUUGUGUCUAGCUCAGGGCUUGUAAAAGCACCAAUCAGUGCCCUGUCAAAACAGACCACUGGGCUCUACCAAUCAGCAGGAUGUGGAUGGCGGGGGUUGGCGGGGGGCAGAUAAGAGAAUAAAAGCAGGCUGCCAGAGCCAGCAGUUGCAACCUGCUCAGGUCCCCUUCUACACUGUGGAAGCUUUGUUCUUUCGCUCUUUGCAAUAAAUCUUGCUACUGCUCACUCUUUGGGUCCACUCUGCUUUUAUGAGCUGUAACACUCACCGCGAAGGUCUGCAGCUUCACUCCUGAAGCCAGUGAGACCACGAGCCCACCUGGAGGAAGGAACAACUCCAGAGGCCCUGCCUUAAGAGCUGUAACACUCACCGCGAAGGUCUGCAGCUUCACUCCUGAAGCCAGCGAGACCACGAGCCCACCUGGAGGAACAAACAACUCCAGAGGCGCCGCCUUAAGAGCUGUAACACUCACCGCGAAGGUCUGCAGCUUCACUCCUGAGCCAGCGAGACCACGAACCCACCAGAAGGAAGAAACUCCGAAAACAUCUUAACAUCAGAAGGAACAAAUUCCAGACGCGCCAUCUUAAGAGCUGUAACACUCACCGCGAGGGGCGUGGCUUCAUGCUUGAAGUCAGUGAGACCAAGAACCCACCAAUUCUGGACACAUUAUGACCUUUGUUUCCUGCCAUGGAAGAAAAUUUAAAUUCCCAGGCUGAAGAAGCAAAUUAGGCCUCUCAAGCAGAAACCAACAGUGUAUCACAAACUCAUGAAAAAUUUCAUAGAUGUCUCAGAAGAAGCAGUGAAAAAUAUUGGUUCUGAGAAGCAAUCAUCAGCCAGUCUCAGAGAGAGGAGAACAAGAUUAAACCAAGUGGCCAAGCUGCCCAUGUGGAUAGGUACAAUGAGCAAGAAAUAAACCUUUGUUGUUUGAUGUCAGUGAG
This 1300-nucleotide long non-coding RNA is filed under the name Homo sapiens (human). RNAcentral describes it as "HSALNT0204437". Lineage: Eukaryota; Metazoa; Chordata; Mammalia; Primates; Hominidae. The record is from RNAcentral.